RNAcentral lists this ribosomal RNA (123 nucleotides) under Triticum aestivum (bread wheat). RNAcentral describes it as "partial small subunit ribosomal RNA". Lineage: Eukaryota; Viridiplantae; Streptophyta; Magnoliopsida; Poales; Poaceae. The record is from RNAcentral.
AUGAGCAAGCCAAGCAACCAAGGGAAGCGGGGAGGAGGCCUCAGCAGGAUGCUGAGGGAGCACAAGGCGAGGCUCUACAUCAUCCGGCGGUGCGUCGUCAUGCUGCUCUGCCACCACGAUUAG